RNAcentral lists this transfer RNA (69 nucleotides) under Dipodomys ordii (Ord's kangaroo rat). It matches the Rfam family "tRNA". Rfam says of the family: Transfer RNA (tRNA) molecules are approximately 80 nucleotides in length. Their secondary structure includes four short double-helical elements and three loops (D, anti-codon, and T loops). Lineage: Eukaryota; Metazoa; Chordata; Mammalia; Rodentia; Heteromyidae. The record is from Rfam by way of RNAcentral.
GGUAUGUGGCUUAGUGGUAGAGUGCUUGCCUAGUAUGCAUGAAGCCCUGGGUUCAAUUCCUCAGUACCA